This is an RNA transcript of Ailuropoda melanoleuca (giant panda), 4738 nucleotides long. It is a transcript of the gene named Fas associated via death domain, with no coding region annotated. The transcript has 3 exons. Lineage: Eukaryota; Metazoa; Chordata; Mammalia; Carnivora; Ursidae. The record is from RefSeq and is a predicted model, not a curated record.
CGGACUUCCGGUGGUAGGGCCAAGGACUUGGGGCCUGCGGCGCAGGGUCCGUGACGCGGAAGGCGGGCCGCCGGGGCCGCGGGGCCGCCGGGCCGCCAAGAGGACGGUGGGGCGGAACGGGGCACGCGCGGAAGGCCGGGCCGGGCCCCACCGAGGCCCGCCGCCAUGGACCCGUUCCUGGUGCUGCUGCACUCGGUGUCGACCGGCCUGUCGAACGACGAGCUGACCGAGCUCAAGUUCCUGUGCCGGGGCCGCGUGGGCAAGAGGAAGCUGGAGCGCGUGCACAGCGGCCUGGAUCUCUUCAACGUGCUGCUCGAGCAGAACGAGCUGGACUCCGAGCACACCGAGCUGCUGCGCGAGCUGCUGGUCUCCCUGCGGCGCCAGGACCUGCUGCAGCGCCUGGACAACUUCGAGGCGGGCGCGGCGGGCAGGGCCCCGCCGGAGGAGCGAGACCUGCGUGCGGCAUUUGACAUCAUCUGUGAUAACGUGGGGAAGGACUGGAGAAGACUGGCCCGUCACCUUAAAGUGACAGACGCCAAGAUCGAUGCCAUCGAGGAGAAAUAUCCCCGCAACCUGACAGAGCAGGUGAGGGAGUCACUGAGAGUCUGGAAGAGCACCAAGACGGAGGACGCAACAGUGUCCCACCUGGUGAGGGUGCUCAGGGCCUGCCAGCUGAACCUGGUGGCCGACCUCAUCGUGGAGCAUCAGCAGGCCCGGGGCCUCGAAAAUGAGAACGAGAACGAGAGCUGUAGAGGCGGCGGCGACAGCAUCUCCGUGUCCUUGACAUCCUGGGACUCGGAUGGGCCCGCCUUGGGGGCCCCCUGGUGACCCAGCUGAUCUUCUCCGGGGGCCCGAGGGCAUCCGCACAGCCCCAGCUUGGGUCCUCCCACCAAGCCUGACCAAGUGCCUUCCACUCGCCGGUGCUGUGAAGACCUGGCCGUGAGCUGGUGAGGGGGGGCCCAGCGCUCGAGCCACGGCUGGCUUCUCAGUCGGAGCAGGCGUUCACAGAGCGCUUAUUCUGUGCCCGGCAGGGCUUCGGGCACUGUGCAGUUUCAGUACCCCUUGCCGCCUGAGGCUGAACCGUGAACUUGGCAGCUGGGCUUCAUAACAGCUCCAGGAGCCGCUAACGGGGAGCGUGUGCGCUCAGCAAACUGGUCUGCUGGAGGCCACCUUUCACCAGCUUCGGGCCCGCCUCCCGCUGAGAGGCCUCAGAGAGCUAGGUGGCCGUCCCUUGUUCAGGCCUUCCAGCUGUGACCUUGGAAAAGCCACACGUGAUGUCCUGCCUCGCCACCGUGGCCUUAGGUUGCUGGGAUCCUGUGCACGCCGUCCUGCUAAGCUGCGGACCAGCCUUAGCCCGUGCACGCCUUCAGCAAGUACGUACUGACGCCAGGCACGGCGAGGGGCUGGGGCCGCCACAGGAAGUGAGAGCGACGUGGCCCCACUCUGUAGACCCCCGGCUCGUGGCCAGGAGCACGGGUUAGGCAGCUCACAGGCUCAGGGUGCCAUGGCGGCGCGGCCUGGCCCUGUGCCGUGUGCCGCGUUUCCCCGCUGCCGGCGCACCUGCUCUCCAGGCCUCAGGCGGAGCUGGCCUGUGCGUCACGGACACGUCAGCGCUGCCAGUGAGUGUGGGCGGCUUGGCUGAUGGGUCGCUUUGGAGAGAAGGUUUACUGAAAAAUCAUGCCCCUGUUUCUUGAACAGAGGCAGAUUUCAGACGUUCCGCCGUUCCCUCAUGGCUUAUGAGAUAAGCUGCUGGAAGGGCAGAUGCCAGACACCCGCACGUGCACCCUGCCUCCCCCGCACGCCUCUCCCUCCGUCACACCUUCACACUGCUGCGACAGAGGCUUCAGUGACCUGUGGUUUCCGCACCUGAAAUAGCCCAUGGCCGGCUCACUCCUGUGGCCCGUCUCCCAGUCCCCCAGGGUGUGAGGGCACCAGGUUUCCCCCCCGCACUCGCAUCCCGGGUCCUCCAUGGAGAGCAGCUGCUGGCCACGCAGUGAGGGAGGAAGAGCAGGGCUCUGGAGCAGCUGCCCGUGGCCUCCCCUCGAGGCCGGGAUCUGAAUUCCGAGACUCCGAAUAGGUGAUGGGGGGAGAGUCUCCAUCCUGUGCCGCGAGGCCAUCGCGCCGCCCGGUUCGCAGGCCCGGAGGUGGGCAGAGCCUGGAGCCUGGAGCUGCGGGGUCAGCUUACGCUAACGGCCGCCCCCCCAGAUGGCUGGCUCAGAGCCGGAUGGAGGCCCGCGUUUGUUCAGCCCGUUCGCACGUCCGUGUUCCGGAGGCUUCUGUCUCACCAGCCCCGUGCCAGGCUUUGAGGUGCAACAACGGGACAAGUAGCCUGCCCCUUGGGAAGCACACGGUUUCCCCUACUUUGUGGAACAAAAGGGAAAGUGUAGUGAAAGUAGACACAAGCAGAUAGCAAAAGCACAAAAGCUUGUAUGGGCACCAGAAAUGGAAAGAUGCACGGCAAGUCGUAGAGAAGGAUGGCUUUUAAAUGAUAUUUAUACUUCCUGCAUUUUCUAUAUUUUCUGUAAUGUGUUUUCACUGUCUGCCAGAUAAAGGACUAGGUGUAGCUUGGACUGUUUGGUGGCGGUGUCCCCAGAGAGCCACAGAGCACGCGGGCUUUCGGGUGUGACCUGGGGUCCACCGCUGGCUCUGCCCCUUGUGGCUUCAUCACCCUAAAAAGGGACGAUUCGGUAAAUACCAAGUGCUUGCCCGAAUCUGUGGCACCUUGCUCCUCAGGUGCCUCGAAAGUAAGCAGCAACGUGUCCCCGAGAGCCGCGGAGCUCUGUCCCUCGUGACCUCACUACAGUGGGCCCGCCCGUGGCCGCUGCUCCUGAGAUGUCGCCUGUCGCCCGCACGUCUCCGUGUCUUCCCCACCAGUGAUCUGAGCCACUGCUUCAAGGGAGAAGGUCUGGGAUGGGUCUGACUGACAUCUGAUUGGACCAGUGACACCCGCCCUGGGCACGGGAAUGGCUGCAGUUUUUAGAGGAAUUUCUUGUGGCAGGAUCGCAAAAAACAACUUCUGUUCCAUUAAUAUUUUUUGUAAGAUUUUUUUGUGGAAUUUGUACUUCCAGUAAAGGUUGCUCACAAGUCUCACGGUUUACUUGAGAGUUAAAGUCAGAGCCGCCUUCUGCUCUUAAGUUCUUUUUCCCCCGAGAAAGACAGGGGAAAGGCCCAAAUGUACGUGCCUUGUGGGGGAUGUCAGGCCAACGAAGGGGAGUUUCGUCAAGUGUUUGCUGAAACAGAGGGCCAACUCCCUAGUCUCAUGCCCCCCCGGAUUUCCCGGCUUCACUCCCCCUUCUGCCCUCCCACCCCAGCCAGCCCUGCUGGGCUGUGGACAUGCAUACACACAGGGCUCUGUUAGGCCCUUCCAGACCCUUCCAGAGGCUUGCAUUGGAGCAGGGUCCAGGCAGACCCUCCGCCAUCUCAUCUCCUUGCUCCCCUGCUGCGUCUUCCUACCACCCCAGGACCACUCCCCCGCUGCUGCAAGCUGCACCUGUGAGGUCCCAGGUUGCCAAACCCACCGUGUCCUUUGUGGUGUGUUGCUCAGCCUCCGGGGCAUUUGAUGCUUGUCUUGAUAAUCGCAUGACAUUUUCUCCUGCUGGUUCUCCUUCCUCUGGCCACCACAUCCAUCUCAGACCCCACAUUCCUGUCCCUGCACAUCCAGAACCCUCUUCCCACUCAGCACCCAGGGAAGCCAGGCCCUCAGCCUCACCUGCCAGGUCCUCAGUGCCUGCCACAUGGUUCUCUGAGGCCCCAGACCCUUCUUGUCAGCUGCCGAGGGGUCAAAACCUUUUGCCAUGUCAGCGACAUUCACGGGUCCAGGGUUUAGGCCGUGGGUGUCAUGGGGGUCAGGCAUUAUUCUCUCCACCGCACACAGACUCCGCAUCUCGCCCUGCCUGACUCUGGUUCUAUGCCUGGCACCGUGAUCCACCCAAUUGCCAAAGGUGGAGACCGGGCCCCCUCCCCCUUGGAGCUUGCUUCCAUAUGUAACAGCCUCUCCUUUCCAUGCCAUGUCCUGCACUCCCCCCCCCACGGAGCCCCAUCCCUUCUCUUGAGGACCCCACCUGCCAUCAGCCUCCAGACAGAAGCAAUAUCCGACUACAGACCCCUGACUCCUUAGCAACUGCAAGCUCUCCGCGCAUGUUUUAGGGUUGUGUUUGUAUUUCCGUGACACCGCCUCUGAGUCAUCUUGCUCACGGCUUUCUAGCCACGUGAUUCUGUGCGCGCUGUGUUUGGACCGGCCGGCAAGCAGGGCUGUGCUCACGUGAGGACGGCCAGUCACCAGACGUGCUGAUAGAGACAGAGCUUCCCUUCUGCAGGGAAAAUUGGCAGUGGAGAUCCCCUUUCAUCAAAGAAGCCCUGUGUCUUAAGUCUCCGACUAAGUGACACAGACAGCAAGAGUCACACGUGUAUACUAACCGCAUUAAUUGUCACCAAGGAACAGAGACCGAUUCAGUGCUGAGUGGCGUCCUCACUGAGCCUGAGCACGGGACCUAUGGAUGGCGCUCUCGUGGUGUGGCUUGAAUGGAAUAACAUCCCGGGCUCUUUGAGUCACUCAGGCAUCAGUCCGAUACGAGGCCUCCCGAUCCCCCCAAACCUGCCUGUCAGGCGGUUGGUGGGGAUGUCCCCAGCAGUGUGAAUGUGCUGAGUGGCCCUCAAAAAUGGCUAAAAGGAUAAAUUUUAGUACAUUUUACCACAAAAAGCAGGCCUCAUAUUAAAUUAACUGUGCAUUUUAUUGUGA